This 27198-nucleotide long non-coding RNA is filed under the name Sorghum bicolor (sorghum). RNAcentral's name for it is "long non-coding RNA (SBIC_LNC011792)". The record is from RNAcentral. Lineage: Eukaryota; Viridiplantae; Streptophyta; Magnoliopsida; Poales; Poaceae.
ACCAAAAAGGACGACCCAGUCACCUAUCAGCUCCUGUUUGGAACCAUGCCCCUAAAACCGACAUACAUUCAGCUCCAGAUGGCAGAUCAAACAUUCCGAAAGGUUGAAGGUUAUUGACAUGGGAGAAGACGAGUACAAUCCACCUAUCAUCCUUGGAAGACCGUUCCUCAGCACUGUUUAAGCAAUCAUUUACAUUGGAACUGGAGAAGUCCACAUGCACUUCCCCUCUAACAUGGUACGUCGCUAUUUUACUGACCCUAAAUAUAUAGUUGAAGACUCUAAGCAGGUCAGGACAAGAAGAAGACGAUGCAACCGCAACCAGAGGAGGAAAAUCAUCAAGGACGGAUGGGCGGACUACGAAGGAGAAGUGCACCGAGUCAGGUGUGGAGAAAGAAGAUAGUUAUACAUGAAGAGUACGCACCGCCGGAAUCACCAACUACGCCAUCCAGCGAAUCCCAGGACGCCUGAGAAAAUGGAGAGUCCCGCUCAGAGGACUUAGAAAAAACACCGAAUGCCUUGCCAAGAGGUAAACUUGGUAGUUAUCCUUUUCCUUUCAAUUAUUUUAAAAUAGUUUGCUUAGUUAAUCUGGUUCAUAUCAUCUUGAAAAGAAAAUAAAAAUGUUAAAAAAUAGUAAGCCCCAUGUGAGUAUGCUCAUGGCAUAAAACCCAUAAGUACAAUCACUGUGGUGGCGUAAAAAUGAAAUAAAUAUAUUCCUAUCCUAUAAAAAUAAAAUUAUAAAAAUAAAAUUAUGAUCCUACUAAAGAGAGUAACAUUUAUUAAGGAGGCUCAACAUGAUAAAGGCUAGAUAUUUAUGCUAACACUUAACCAGUUCCACAAAGCUUUGUUGUCUAUUUGAGCUCCACAGAAUUUAAGGAUCAAAGAAGAUUAGUAGACGGAGGACAUCCUAAUCGCUGUCAGAGUGCUGCCGACAUUCAAAUACACCUCUGCCACAUGCUAGGUACAUCCGAAGAAAUUAUGUCAAAAUCCAGCUUGGGGGAGAGCACCCCCAUUUAUCCAGCUAAGUAUUCUACGCACAUUUAUACUUUACUCUAAUAAUAAAAAGAUGCAUAAUCAUAUAAACCCAAAUAAAGAUUUUGUGCUUAUAUAUAUAUAUCUUUGCUUAGUUUGCUAAAUAAAUAAAUAAAUAAAAUUUGCUAUGAACCCUCAUGAUAAGCUCUCAAAUGGAAAUGAUGAAUAGUUGCUCUACCAUGACUAGUUCUCAAAAUUGAAAUCUCUCUCAAGUUUAGGCAUGACUGUUAUUAAUUAAGAUUUGCUCUAAACCUGAACUUGUGGGAAGAGUACUUGAUCUAAAGUCUAAGUUGUUAACGGAUAUGAUAUAGGAAGGUUGAGCUGCUGUUUACCUGUUCCUAGAGAUGCUAGAAUUCUGGAGAAUUUUAUCUUUGAAAAUAUUUAAAAUAUCACAUGAUGAGUUCCUGUAUGAUGAGAGUUUAAAUUCCUACCACAGCCAUACAUACAUGCUUGCUAGACUUUGAGCCACACAUUUACUUUUUACUGCUUAUGAGCAUUGAGUGUGGUCAAGCUGUGUAGACCCUUAGGAGCUUGUCAUGUGGUUAAAUCAAGAUUCACUUGCACGUUCACUCAUACAUGCUACUUCUACUUCGGAAGUACGCAUCCACAUACAUCCACUCAUUUCCAUCUCUAGAACCAUCCAAAAAUAUUCUACUCCUAAUCCUGGAGAGAAUAGCCAAAAACAUUUCUGUUUUCCCUGUGAAAUAAAUGCUCAAGUUAUCUUGGUUACUACCACUUGCUACAUCAUUUCAAGAGAUGAGUGCUCUGAAAAAAAGAGAAAAAAAAGAAAGAAUACGAGGAAAUAAAAAGGGGCAAGUGCCCGAAACCUCGAAAGAAAAGAAAAAAGUGAGACGAGAGGUAAAAAUGGACAAGUGUCCGACAGUAGAAUUAGGGGUACAAGAUACCCACCUGAGAGGAAAGAAAAAGAAAAUACAGAGCAUCUCAUUCUCCCCAAAAAUUUCAAAAGAGCAAGGAAGGUAUGUAUCCCCUCAAAAGAGCAAAAGUAGAAUUAGACUUUCACCAUUGUUAUCACCAUCAUUACCAUGCACCAUUCAUUCGCCACACAUGCACAUCUUGAUUUGACUUAUUGACUUGGUCUUCUGGAUCCAUGGUUUGACUAUGCAAUAAAUGUCUUGUAAGUAUGUAUUAGCUGUCUCCCACCUAUGAGCUCCAGAUAUCAAAAGCCUUAUUAGAGUAGGGUGAGAGAGAAGGCAAUGCCACUAUGCCUUAUACCAAAAAUACCACAUACCUUGAGAGAAGACAUACAUCAUUACUGCCUUGGUAAGGAUCCAGAAAUACCACAAAUGAGAGACUAGAGAGAGUCAUACAAGGAAUCUCUGAGUUUUAUUUGAAAAUCUGCAAAAACUCCAGAGCUAUAGUUAAUCGAAGAACAAGAGACAUGGCGCUUGACUAGACCGUUCUAUCUUUUAACUACUCAAGACAGAAGUGACGGUUACAAGCCCCAUGGUGGAAGGUAAAAUGAGUAAGUUUAAAUCUUAACAGUUUACCUCAACCCAGAUGAGAUCUUGUUUGAGCGCAUGUGUACCUUUAAGGCAUGAAACCACUGCAGAAACUCUUGAGUCCAUCUUUGCUCAGGGACGAGCAAAGGUUAAGCUUGGGGGAGCUUGUUGACGGUCCUUAAUGCUCACAUUUAACCAUCAACUAAUAAUGGAAAAGGAUCCAAAUGCAACUAACACCUAGACUUAGGGUUUUAUCUGACAGAAUUCCACGAGUUUUGGUGUUUGUCUAUUUCUGUAGGGGGUUAUCAGGAAAUACGAAAGAAAGGCCCACAUGUCGGUUUACAUAGAGAUAUUAACGUGCCGCACAAUUUUCUAUCAUCUAGAAGACUCCAGAAGCCACGGGACCGAAGUGGAGGCCGAGAGGACUCAGGGACAGGGCGCCCGCCCUCCUCUCCUGGGCGCCCGCCCUCACAUAGAGUCCAAUCAGGACUCUCUUUCGGGAUAUUGCUCCACCGACCUAAAGGAUCAAGGAUAACCGUUCAAUCAAUGUCGGUUUGAUCCAACGACCCAUAUUCACUUGAAGGGACUAUAAAACCAGACCCCCUGGCCACUGGAGAUCAUACCUCUUCUACAGAAUCAAAGCUAGGGUUUCAAUUCUUCAUCCAAGUAGAUAGGAUCCCUCUAGUUCUUCUAGUUCUACCUCUAGUUCAUCUAGAUCUAGUUCUAGUUCAUCUAGUUCUAGUUCUAGUUCCUCUAGUUCUAGUUCUAGUUAGUUCUAGUUGUAAUCUAGAAAAUAGGGAGAGAGAAGAGGAGAGUGGAGGAGGAGCCGGAUCUGUCGGAUCUUCCUCAACAUUAUACUUUUGCAGCAUCUGGUUCGUUCUUCAUCGUUCUCCAGGUUCUUCAAUUCAUAAUUCCUAAGUUCUUUAAUUACUUUUAUUUACAUUCAAGUUAUUUAUUGGAUUCCCGCUUGCAUCAAGUGCUCUAGUCUUUAUAACGCUAGAGUAGUAAUUAAUAGAUUAGACAUGGUGUUUAGUCUUGCAAUUACCUGGAAUUGCACCCAAUCCUGCGGAUUGUUGUGGUAGCCUUAGGGUAGUGACAGCCCUAACGGUCGACGUAUUCCACCACGUUCGGAUCGGUGUUUGUAGGACCGUAGUCAGACCUUCCUAGCCCCCUUCUCAUCUCUUUUUGUGGUUAGUGCUCUGAUGUCCCGAUAUAAAUAAUCUUGGAAGUAAUUCUUGAUUCUUAGAUCAACUAGAGAACUCUCAGGAAACUUCCUCUCUUCCCACCAAAAAUAAUUAUAUAGUUAUCUUGGGCGAUCUUGGAUCUUAAUUAGUACACUCACGUUCCCUGUGGAAAAUCGAUACUCUGGAAUACUCCCGGGUGAAAGCUACAUCGGUAUCCGUGCGCUUGCGGAUUUUUUCUGUUUGCGUUUAAAAUACCCAAUAAGAUUUCUUGUUGACACAGGCUAACACCACUUGAAUACUAGGUUGUCAUCCCAGCAUGGCACUAGAGUGUACUAUGGUAUUUAUACGCACACAGAUAAUCCGCAAGCGCACGGAUACCGUUAUAGCUUUUACCCGGUUAAAGGUUUUAUCGUAUCCACAGGGAAACGGGAGAACUAAUCUACGCUCUAACUUAACCAAGAUAAGUCAAUAGGUGUAAAUAGGAAAGAUGGUAGAAUCGAAUAAGAACAAUAUUAAAGGUAAGAUAACAGUGAGUGAUAAUAUGGGAAUAUAGAAUAGAGCAAUUCUAGUAUAUGGGCCAUGGUAGCAGAAUAGAGAGAAUAACUAUGGUUUCUCUACUUCAAAGGGGUAUGUCUAUGUCUGGGACGAACCAUGUGAUAAGAAGACACCACAAAGGAUGCUUAUCCAUAGGCUGAUAAACCCUACCCGUCCUGCUAACGAGAGGUGGACUACAGAGGACCAACGUAACUGUCACCUACGCGGCCUACCACACGAUCCAGCUAGACAAGGGAUAUCCACAAGUAAUCUAGGUCUAAGCACCACGCUUACACCUAUACUACAACUCUAACCUAUAGGGUCCUAUAGAUUAGAAGUACUCAAAAGAGUUGUGAACCAGAACAUACAUGAUUAGUAAUUGCAUAUUGAAUUAGAAGUAGAUUACCAGAGUCAUCCCAUGAGCAAACUUGAUUAGAGCUUGAUCAUGACGAAGUACAACCGGAGGAAGAACCGACAGGCCGGCCUCUCCUCUAAUCCUCCUUCGCCCUCCAUCUCGCUACUAUCUAGAUCUACUCUAGUUUAGAGAAGAGAGGAGAGCUCUCAUCUCUAAACCCUAGCUUUUGCUCUGUCUAUGAAUAAUGAAUAAUGAUCAAGGGGUGCCUCCUCCAGGGGCCAGGGGGUCUGGUUAUAUAGUCCCCUCAAGUGAACCUGGGCCGUCGGAUCAAACCGACAUUGAUUGAACGGUUAUUCUUGAUCCUUUAGGUCGGUGCAGUGUAAUCCCCGAAGAGAGUCCUGAUUGGACUCUGUAGCUGGGCGGGCGCCCAAGGGGGGUGGGCGGGCGCCCUGCCCCCGAGCCCGCUCGGCCUCCCGUUCGUUCCUGUGGCUUCUGGAGUCUUCUAGAUGAUAGAAAAUUGCGCGGCACGUUAAUAUCUCUAUGUAAACCCGACGUGUGGGCCUUCUCUCCAUAUUUCCUGAUAACCCCCUACAGAAAUAGACAAACACCAAAACUCGUGGAAUUCUGUCAGAUAAAACCCUAAGUUUAGAUGUUGGUUGUAUUUGGAUCCUUUUCUUUGUUUAUUUGCUGAUUAUAUUUGGUACUUAAGGACCGUCAACAACUCCCCCAAGCUUACCACUUGCUCAUCCCUGAGCAAGGAUGGACUCAAGAGUUUCUACAGUGGUUUUAUGCCUUAAAGGUACACAUGCGUUUAAACAAGAUCUCAUCUUUGGUAAGGAUCCAGAAAUACCACAAAAGAGAGACUAGAGAGAGUCAUACAAGGAAUCUUUGAGUUUUAUUUGAAAAUCUACAAAAACUCCAGAGCUAUAGUUAAUCGAAGAACAUGAGACAUGGCGCUUGAUUAGACCGUUCUAUCUUUUAACUACUCAAGACACAAGUGACGGUUGCAAUCCCCAUGGUGGAAGGUACAAUGAGUAAGUUUAAAUCUUAACAGUUUACCCUAACCUAGAGAUGAGAUCUUGUUUGAACAUAUGUGUACCUUUAAAGAAUGAAACCACUGCAGAAACUCUUGAGUCUAUCUUUGCUCAGGGACGAGCAAAGGUUAAGCUUGGGGGAGCUUUUUGACGGUCCUUAAUGCUUACAUUUAACCAUCAACUAAUCAUGGAAAAGGAUCCAAAUGCAACCAACACCUAGACUUAGGAUUUUAUCCGACAGAAUUCCACAAGUUUUGGUGUUUGUCUAUUUCUGCAGGGGGUUAUGAGGAAAUACGGAAGAAAGGCCCACACGUCGGGUUUACAUAGAGAUAUUAACGUGCCGCGCAGUUUUCUAUCAUCUAGAAGACUCCAGAAGCCACGGGAAGGAAGCGGAGGCUGAGAGGGCUCAGGGACAGGGCACCCGCCCAAGUCCUGAGGGCGCCCGCCCUGGAGUUCUGCCCAAUCACGUCCAAACUCGCGGAUCGUGCUCCACCGACCUAAAGGAUCAAGGAUAACCAUUCAAUCAAUGUCGGUUUGAUCCAACGGUCCAUAUUCACUUGAAGGGACUAUAAAACCAGACCCCCCUGGCCCCUGGAGAUCAUACCUCUUCUACAGAAUCAAAGUUAGGGUUUCAAUUCUUCAUCCAAGUAGAGAGGAUCCCUCUAGUUCUUCUAGUUCUACCUCUAGUUCAUCUAGAUCUAGUUCUAGUUCAUCUAGUUCUAGUUCUAGUUCCUCUAGUUCUAGUUCUAAUUAGUUCUAGUUGUAAUCUAGAAAAUAGGGAGAGAGAAGAGGAGAGCGGAGGAGGAGCCGGAUCUGUCAGAUCUUCCUCAACAUUAUGCUUUUGCAGCAUCUGGUUCGUUCUUCAUCGUUCUCUAGGUUCUUCAAUUCAUAAUUCCUGAGUUCUUUAAUUACUUUUAUUUACAUUCAAGUUAUUUAUUGGAUUCUCGCUUGCAUCAAGUGCUCUAGUCUUUAUAACGCUAGAGUAGUAAUUAAUAGAUUAGACGUGGUGUUUAGUCUUGCGAUUACCUGGAAUUGCACCCAAUCCUGCGGAUUGUUGUGGUAGCCUUAGGGUAGUGACAGCCCUAACGGUCGACGUAUUCCACCUUGUUCGGAUCGGUGUUUGUAGGACCGUAGUCAAACCUUCCUAGCCCCCUUCUCAUCUCUUUCUGUGGUUAGUGCUCUAAUGUUCCGAUAUAGAUAAUCUUGAAGUAAUUCUUGAUUCUUAGAUCAAUUAGAGAACUCUCAGGAAACUUCCUCUCUUCCCACCAAAAAUAAUUAUAUAGUUAUCCUUGGGCGAUCUUGGAUCUUAAUUAGUACACUCACGUUCUCUGUGGAAAAUCGAUACUCUGGAAUACUCCUGGGUGAAGGCUACAUCGGUAUCCGUGCGCUUGCGGAUUUUUCUAUUUGCGUUUAAAAUACCCAACAAGCCUUCUGGCGCCGUUGCCGGGGAGAAAGACGGUUUGCUGAGAUAACUUUAAGUCUUGCUAUUAUCUUGUAUUAUACUUUUAUACUUUUAUUCUUUUAUCUUUUUAUUUUUAUCUUUAUGGAUAACUUAAAUUCCAUACCUAUUAUUGAAUUCUUUGCACCUUCGGAGACCAGCCAUAGACCAUGGGAGUCAACAAGUCGUGCCCCUAAUUAUGAUCUGUGUCCGGAGUUGAUUGCAAUAGGUCAAAACCAACUCUUUUCUAUAGCCGAGGUCCUAUCUUUUAAUCAAGAAGAUAAUGCACUUUUAGCUACACCUAGGGAAUCUUUUAAUCUUUCUAUAAAUUCUGGUUUAGACCUAGCCCUACAAGACCAUGUUUUUUCUCGAUAUUUUCACAUUGGUCUUAAUCAUAUAACCUUUGGUAGAGUCUUUCUUUCUUUAUCUAUUAGUAAAGGAAGGUAUGUCUUCAUUUGUGGACAUCCUUCUUGUACUAGUCUUCAUAGAAAAAUCUUAGAGAUAGAGAAGGAAUCAUCUCCCAGACAAGGAAAGGAAGUUUCAAUAGCCAAUUUCCAAAUAUUCCAAUCCCAUGAUUCGGCUAUCCAACCCAUCCUUGAGCUUAAUAAUUUCUACUACGCUCUUGCUCUUGAACCUCCCGAUAAUCCUAUGAAUCUCUCUAGACAUCCCAUGCAUAAGAGUCACCAAGACCACAAGGAGGAUGGAGAAGAGCAACAUCAAUGGCUAGAGGGCAUUAAAAAUCCAUGUGCUAUCACCAUUGAAUGGAUGGAUAAAACAAACUUGAGAGACAAUGCUAGAGGAAUUUUAAGCAUUCAUGAAGAAUCAUCCUUGGAGUUUGAGAAUGAGAGAAACAACAGUGAGCAUGGAAGUUAUUUCAUAAAUACCUCACCAAAUCCUUGUUCAUAUAAGACAUUUCCUCAAUCAAUUGGUCUCUCCAACCUUACUACAUUUGCGAUCUCCAACCCCCUCUUCCUUUCUAUUUAUAAAAACUUUAAAAGGGCAGUUGUCGAUGUAUAUGUCUAUAAUAAAUAUUGCAGAUCUCGUUGAUCUUGAUAUAGGUCAGCGUUGGAGGGGAAACCACUUCGCCGAUAUAAAUUGAUGGUUUCCCAAGGAUAAGCUUAGCGUCCUAAAACAAACACUUAUCAGAUCGUAACAUGAACUUCUAAUUAUUUGCAACAUUGCCUUGUGUAUUGAGCAUAUAAAGAUAAUUGUAGAAAUAUUCCUUCGGGUAUUCGUGUCACUAACCUUUCUAGGAUUGGAGCAAGAAGAUCCGAGGAAUGACAAGCGCAAGGUAUGCCCAACCAAUCAUCAUGCAACAUUACAUUAAAUUCAUCCAAUCUUGAAUUUUGCAAAAUUCAAGCUUGGGGGAGUACUUUACAUAAAAACAUCAUUUGCCAUGUUGCUAUGUUGGUUGUCCUUACCUUUGAGACAUUCUCAAUUUGUUAAAUACUAAUCACACUACUUCAUCUCCACUUGAGUAGAUCUCAUAAAUGCCAUCACGCUACCUUUGUUUAUCCUAGUAAGUGUUAGUUUGGAAGUACUGCACAUACUUCUAUUGGCUUUUAAAUUAAGCAUGGUGCUUAGGUUAAACAGCCUUCCCUAAUCUGAUUAGACAUGGAGUCUAGUUCGGUUAUUGAACUAAAAACUGCUUGUGUAGACAUUGGUACAUUUUGUCGGACUAACCCCUGCAGAAAAACUUUCAAUAUCAAUUUGGGAAGUCCUGGGAUACAAACUCACAUUGGAGAUAAAGGAGACACAUGAAAUUUAACGACUUGCACAAGGAAGACAUAGCUCAUUCAUCAUAAAGAGAUGAUCCAUGGAGGGUGCCACAAACACGAUGCACAACCGCUAAGAAAGGAAAGCUUCCACAAGGUGAUACUGUACCAUCACUCUUCAAUUAAGGCACACUUCUAGCAAAACAUGGAGGAGUUUUACAACUCCCAGACUCCACCAAGUGAAGGACCUGGAUCUACGAGCACAAACACACUGAGCAUGAUAUUGCCAACACCGCACUUUGAACUGCUGGGCAAACGAAGAAUGUGGGUGACACUGUAUCAAGAGGUACAGAUGUCAAGACCCACACCUAAUCAAAUGAUGCACCUAAAGGAUGAACACGCUGAGAAGUCUUGCCCAGAAGACUUAAAACAUUGGAUCCUUGUCGGAGAAAGUCAAGAUCGUCGACUCAAGUCGCCUUUCCUGAUCAAGAAGGACGACCCUAGUGUUCCAAGCAUCAAGUGCACAAUCAAUGGAUACUCUUUUCAGAAGACACUCUACGACACCGGAUCUGAUGACAACAUAAUGACCGUAGUCACUUAUCAGCUCCUGCAUGGAACCAUGCCCCUACAACCAAAAUAUAUUCAGAUCCAGAUGAUUUUUAGGUCAUUGACAUGGGAGAAGAUGAGUACGAUCCACCCAUCAUCCUUGGGAGACCGUUCCUCAACACUAUCAAAGCCAUCAUCUAUAUUGGAACCGGAGAAGUCCACAUACACUUUCCUCUGAAGAAGACGACGCAACUGAAACCAGAGGAGGCAAAUCAUCAAGGACGGAUGGGUAGACUACGAAGGAGAAGUGAUAAGGUUUGAAGAAAUACAGCUUGAAUAGAACUGUCCUGAGGAGACCAUAGCACCGAGGCAGGUGUGGAGGGAGAACAUAGUUAUACACAAAGAGGAGGCGCCACCGGAAUCACCGACUACGUCAUCCAGCAAAUCCCAGGACGACUAAGAAAACAGAGAGUCCCGUUCGGAGGACUUAAAAACACCGAACGUCUUGCCAAGAGGUAAACUUGGUAGUUAUCCUUUUCCCUUCAAUUAUUUUGUUUAGUUAAUCAGAUUCAUAUCAUCUCGAAAAGAAAAUAAAAAUGUUAAAAAUAGUAAGCCCCAUGUGAGUAUGCUCAUGGCAUAAAACCCAUAGGUACAUUCACUGUGGUGGCAUAAAAUAAAUAUGUUUCUAUCUUACAAUAAAAAUAUAAAAAUAAUAAGAUUGUGAUCCUACCAAAGAGAGUAACAUUUAUUGAGGAGGCUCAACAUGAUAAAGGCUAGAUAUUUAUGCUAACACUUAACCAGUUCCACAAAGCUUUGUUGUCUAUUUGAGCUCCACAGAAUUCAAAGAUCAAAGAAGACUAGCAGACGGAGGACAUCCUAAUCGCGGUCAGGGUGCUGCUGACAUUCAAAUACACCUCCGUCACCUGCUAGCUACAUCAGAAGAAAUUAUGUCAAAAUCCAGCUUGGGAGAGAGCAUCCCCAUUUAUCCAGCUAAGUGUUUCUACUCACGUUUAUACUUUACUCAAAUAAUAAAAAGAUGCAUAAUCAUUGAAACCCAAAUAAAAAUUUUAUGCUUAUAUCUUUGCUUAGUUUGCUAAAUAAAUAAAUAAAUAAAGUUUGCUAUCAACCCUCAUGAUAAGCUCUCACAUGGAAAUGAUAAAUAGUUGCUUUGCCAUGUACCUAGUUUUCAAGUUUGAGCUCUAUCUCAAGUUUAGGCAUAACUAUUAUAAUUUAAACCUGCUCUAAAGGGGAUAUCUAUGAGUACCCUAGCCUAAACACCACGUUUACACUAGCAAUGAUUACUCUAAUACUCAACCGGAAGAGGAUUAAAGUAAACUCAUAAACCAAAGAACAAUAAAACAAGAACUUACUAGAAUUAGAAGUCGAAUUACUGAAGAAUCUUAGGAGCAAGCCUCGGGUUAGAAGACUUGAUCCCGCAGGUACAACCUCGGAGUAGACACCGACAGGCCGGCCUUCCUCCGAUCUACACCUCCACUCUAUCUCUCUCAAUCUAGUAGAAACUAGAAGAUCUAAUUCUACUCACAUUGGAUGCUAAGCCUAAAAUAAAUUUUAUUUAGAGUUGAGAGGAGCCCUUGAAGGAAUACCUCUCCUCUAAAUAAAAUUUAUUUUAGGCUUAACAUCCAAUGUGAGUAGAAUUAGAUCUUCUAGUUUCUACUAGAUUGAGAGAGAUAGAGUGGAGGUGUAGAUCGGAUGAAGGCCGGCCUGUCGGUGUCUACUCCGAGGUUGUACCUGCGGGAUCAAGUCUUCUAACCCGAGGCUUGCUCCUAAGAUUCUUCAGUAAUUCGACUUCUAAUUCUAGUAAGUUCUUGUUUUAUUGUUCUUUGGUUUAUGAGUGGACCGAAGCGGAGGCCGAGAGGACUUAGGGACAGGGCGCCCACCCUACUCUCCUGGGCGCCCGCCCUCAUACAGAGUCCAAUCAGGACUCUCUUUCGGGAUAUUGCUCCACCGACCUAAAGGAUCAAGGAUAACCGUUCAAUCAAUGUCGGUUUGACCCAACGGCCCAGAUUCACUUGAAGGGACUAUAAAACCAGACCCCCUGGCCCCUGGAGAUCAUACCUCUUCUACAGAAUCAAAGUUAGGGUUUCAAUUCUUCAUCCAAGUAGAGAGGAUCCCUGUAGUUCUUCUAGUUCUACCUCUAGUUCAUCUAGAUCUAGUUCUAGUUCAUCUAGUUCUAGUUCUAGUUCCUCUAGUUCUAGUUCUAGUUAGUUCUAGUUGUAAUCUAGAAAAUAGGGAGAGAGAAGAGGAGAGCGGAGGAGGAGCCGGAUGUGUCGGAUCUUCCUCAACAUUAUACUUUUGCAGUAUCUGGUUCAUUCUUCAUCGUUCUCCAGGUUCUUCAAUUCAUAAUUCCUGAGUUCUUUAAUUACUUUUAUUUACAUUCAAGUUAUUUAUUGGAUUCCCGCUUGCAUCAAGUGCUCUAGUCUUUAUAACGCUAGAGUAGUAAUUAAUAGAUUAGACGUGGUGUUUAGUCUUGCAAUUACCUGGAAUUGCACCCAAUCCUGCGGAUUGUUGUGGUAGCCUUAGGGUAGUGACAGCCCUAACGGUCGACGUAUUCCACCACGUUCGGAUCGGUGUUUGUAGGACCGUAGUCAGACCUUCCUAGCCCCCUUCUCAUCUCUUUCUGUGGUUAGUGCUCUGAUGUCACGAUAUAAAUAAUCUUUGAAGUAAUUCUUGAUUCUUAGAUCAACUAGAGAACUCUCAGGAAACUUCCUCUGUUCCCACCAAAAAUAAUUAUAUAGUUAUCCUUGGGCGAUCUUAGAUCUUAAUUAGUGCACUCACGUUCCCUGUAGAAAAUCGAUACUCUAGAAUACUCCCGAGUGAAGGCUACAUCGGUAUCCGUGCACUUGCGGAUUUUUUUAUUUGCGUUUAAAAUACCCAACAAGCUUUGUGGCGCCGUUGCCGGGGAACGGUAGCUGUGCUAGUUUCGAACCAAGUCGUCCAUGUAUCCUUUUUCUUUUCCUUUUUGACCACACUCACCUUACCAUUUUCACCACACCACAUGGAUUUCACUAAGCAUUAAUGAGCAUGGAAUUUAUUUCAUAGCCACUUCAUUUACUCCAUGCUCAUAUGCAACAUCUUUCCAAUCCAUUGGUCUCUCCAACAUCACCACAUUCGAGAUCUCCAACCCCCUCUUCCUUUCUAUUUAUAAAAACUUUAAAAGGGCGGUUGUCGAUGCAUAUGUCUAUAUUAAAUAUUGCAGAUCUCGUUGAGUUGAUCUUGAUAUAGGUUAGCGUUGGAGGGGAAACCACUUCGCUGACAUAAAUUGAUGGUUUCCCAAGGACAAGCUUAGUGUCCUAAAACAAGCACUGAUCAGAUUGUAACAUGAGCUUUUAAUUAUUUGCAAUAUUACCUUGUGUGUUGAGCAUAUAAGGAUAAUUGUAAAAAUAUUCCUUCGGGUAUUCUUGUCACUAACCUUUUUAGGAUUGGAGCAAGCAGAUCGGAUGAAUGACAAGCACAAGGUAUGUCCAACCAAUCAUUAUACAACAUUGAAUUAAACUCAUCCAAACUUGAAUUUUGUAAAAUUCAAGCUUGGGGGAGUACUUUACAUAAAAACAUCCUUUGCUAUGUUGCUAUGUUGGUUGUCCCUACCUUUGAGACAUGCUCAAUUUGUUAAAUACUAAUCACACUACUUCAUCUCCACUUGAGUAGAUCUCUAUAAAUGCACUCAUACUACCUUUAUUUGCUUUAGUAUAUGUCUAGGCUUGGAGUAGUUUCAUUUAUCUCUUAAUUAAGCAUGGUGCUUAGUUUAGGAAUGAUGAUCUUACUUCCAAGGGAUUUUAAUUUAAGCAUGAUGCUUAGGUUAAAAUUCCCUCCUAAAUCAAAUUAGACAUGGUGUCUAGGUUGAUCUUUGAGCCGAUAGUAUGCUAUAGUAGAUAUUGGAUAUUUUGUUGGACUAACCCCUGCAGGAAAACUUUCAAUAUCGACCUGGGAAGUCCUGAGACAAACUCACAUUCGAGACAAAGAGAGAGGCACAUGAAGUUUAACAAUUUACACAAGGAAGGCAUAGCUCACAAGAGAUGAUCCAUGGAGGGUGCCACAAACACGAUGCACAACCACUAAGAAAGGAAAGCUUCCACAAGGUGAUACUGUACCAUCACUCUUCAAGUAAGGUAACAUCUUAAUGUACUUGACUAUCACUUUUAUAAAGCUUCUCCUUGGUUCUAGCAUUCACAUGAAUAAAAGAGACAAACAUAUAUGAUUUACAACUCUAGAUUAACCAACCCAAUCGAUUCAAUAUGUUUAGUCCUUUCAUCUUUGUGAUCCCACACUCCUAAUCAUAUGAACUAAAAUGUUGCACACCCAAUCUUUAGAAGAUAUAUUUCAUAAAAAACAACAUAAAUAUAGAUAGAUUAUCUUUCCAUUAGGUUGAGCGAUCUGAUCUGAUAAAUGUUUUAAAUGUUAUACUCAUGAUCUUAUUAUCCAUCAACUUUGUCUUGCUCACUAUGCUUGAGGUCAGAGAAGAACAAAUACACUUUUGGUUCUGUUGGUGUUUUCCACCAACAGGGCCCAUGCACCUGAUCUCUGCCUUGUCUCUAUGAGCAGGUACACUUCGAGCAAAAUAUGAAGGACUUUUACAACUCCCAGACUCCACCAAGUGAAGAACCUAGAUCUACGAGGACAAUGUUGACGGUGGAUAUACCAUAGAAAUCCACAUACAAAACACCGUCAACAUGCCUCGGUUGCAAGAGGAAACGACAUGACAUGAACAUAUUUUAUCCAUAACUAGUUCCACUUGUACUCUUAGCUUGUUUAUGCAGGAACAACAAAUUCAAGACAUUAUUUGACAAAGCCAACAUCAGAAUCAUCAAGAGGAGAUCGAGGGGACAACAGGUGACACCCUGGGCCCACAGGGAGGGGGUCGCCCGACCCCUCUUUGGUGGGACCCAGGUGUGCCACCUAGUCCACCGACAUAAGGGACCCCUGUGGACACUGCUGGUGGGCCCAGAGGCCCAGAAGUGGGGUCGCCCGACCCCACAUCAAAGGCGGUUCCAGGGUCGGUGGCCUCCCACCGACCUUCCCCACAUGUCCCACAUGUUGAUUUGCCCCUGCCGUUGAUCAAAUGGCGGUUGUGAGGUCGGUUUGAUCCAAGGGUGGAGAGAAGAUGUCACGCGGAUCGAUGACGUGGCGAUGGAGUAACCCCUACUCCAUCUCCCUCUAUAAAAGGCAGCCUCCAUCCUUCAUUUCAAGUGGGCAAUUCCAAGGCCAAGUGCAUUACAAGUUCCAAGCAUACAAGUAGAGUAGUAGUUAGUCUAGAGUGGGAGUUAGAGUCGAGUCGAGCGAAGCUCGGGGUCUCCGGAGUCGUCUUCUGGAGAGUCUGGUAUAGCUCUUGUACCUUUCUACUUUUGUAAGACUUUCCUUUUAUUAAUAUAUUAUUCUUACUUUACUUUACUGAGUUCUUACUUAGUGCAAGUCUUUUAGUCUUGUUGUGCAUUUACUUUAGUAAUAUAGUUGUCUUAGUGAAGUUAGUGACCUGUAACCACUCCUGUGUGUGCAUCAUCGUCCUAUCUUGUAUAGGAGCUCUAGCUAGCUGCAACUAGUUAGCGUUGUAGGAUUAAGUGUGAGCGUGGUGCUCAUACUUAAGAUUACCUUUGAUUACCGCUGGCUUGAACGGAAAGUAGGAGCGCACUCCCUAGUAGGUGACAGAUCGUGGGCGGCAUUAGGUUCUCCUCACGUACAGGCUAGUUCUUAAAAGGUAAGGCGUCCAUAAGCCCAAUAGUCGCUUUCGGUAAGGGGUUAGGUGAAAAACCUUCUAAGCGUCUUACCAGCUCGGCUAUCCCUCGCACACAGUUAGUAAGGCUCUAGCGUAGUUAAGGCAAUUAUCUAUUAAAGUAAGUCACAGAAGUCAAGUUAGAUACAUAGGAGUCCUUUACUCACUCGUUGUCCUCCCACCUAGCUAACUCUACCAUUUACCUUUAGCAUAGGACCUUGGAUUCACCACUACCCUUCCUAUUCGUUAUUUACCACCCUUAUUCACUAGUUGAUACUAGAUAACUCAAGGAAUCUCAUUCCCCUUUUUGUUAAACACACUUAGCCGCUUUCCCUUGGGAAAAUAUAAAUUACGAUACCUUGGAAUACUCCUUGGUGAAGUGCUACAGCGGUACAUUCUGUGCGCUUGCGGAAUUAUCCAAUAGUAAAUAGAGUUACCCUACCAGGGCACUCCUGGCGCCGUCGCCGAUAUCCGGUGGUUGCGUUAAGAAGUGUCAACAAGCAUUUCUGGCGCCGUUGCCGGGGAGAGCGUCUGUCUAAGAGUUUUAACAAAAAGAGAAUCCAGAGUUUGCUAGUUAUCAAGUAGUGAUAGGGAUAACCCAUCACUUGUCUUGUCUUCCUUUAUUGUGAAGCCUGACAGUGUAUGAGCGGUUUCCAGUUGCCGUCAAACUUCGUUGAAGAUCCUGAGCAACUGUUGAGGAGAACUAGACGUCGUCAAGUUCCACCUCAAAGGUUCAUCUCGAACCUGAAUCCGUUAGAGGAAGGAGUAUCUGCAUCGGUUAUCAAAGAAGCUAUGGCCCAGAAGACCAUCUCUGAGUACUCUGCGCCGUCGGCUGACAAUGUCGCCACGGGUCCGCAGCUUAACUUGGGGGAUGCGACUUUUGAGUUGAAGCCUGCGCUUAUCAAUAUGGUGCAAGCUAAUCCCUUCUGUGGAAAGCCACACGAGGAUGCCAAUGCCCAUCUCCAACACUUCUUGGAGGUGUGCGGCACCUUCACCAUCAAGAAUGUCGCCGCAGACGCCAUCCGUCUUCGCCUCUUCCCAUUCUCAUUAUUGGGGAAGGCGAAGCAAUGGUUCUACGCCAACAAGGGUGAAGUGACCACGUGGGAGAGGUGCGCCAAUGCAUUUCUCAAGAAGUUCUUUCCGAUGGGCAAGACCAGCGCCCUUCGUGGAAAGAUUUCCAGCUUCCAACAGCAAGCGGAUGAGACGAUUCCCGAAGCAUGGGAACGUCUGCAGGAGUACAUUCGCGCCUGUCCUCAUCAUGGGAUAGAGGAGUGGCUCCUAAUCCAAGGUUUCUACCAUGGCCUGACCGGUUUGGCCCGUAGUCACCUUGAUGCUGCCGCUGGAGGAGCAUUCUUGCAACACAAUGUCAAGGAUGCCAAGGACCUCAUUGAAAAGAUGGUUAUAAACCAAGGAUGGAAUGAGGAACGCCUCCAACCCAAGAGAAGAGGUGUCCAUGCCUUGAAUGAGGUGGACAUGCUCUCUGCUAAGAUGGACCUCUUAAUGAAGAAGAUGGAAGAAAGUUCCAAGCAAGAGACCAUUCAACCUUACGCCACUGCACGGGCCAUUGAAUCUGAUUCAUGGUGCGAAGUGUGCGGAGGAGAUGAUCAUUCGGGAAACAAUUGUCCCGAAACAAAGGAGGAAGUGAGCUUCAUCAACAACAACAACAAUGGGUACCGGCCCCAACAACAGCAAUGGAACUCGCGCCCCUUCUACCAAGGUAAUCAAGGUAAUGGUUACAAUCAAAAUUUCAAUAAUUCUUUUGGUAACCAACCUUCUCUUAGAGAUCUUGUCUUAGGCCAAUCUAAAAUCAAUGAUAGCAUUAACAAGAAAAUGAUGGCUAAUGAUAAGAUCCUUGAAAACUUAAGUGAAAAGUUGGAUAGCUUUAACUCUGCUAUGAAAAAUCAGUUGAGCUUUAACAAAAUGCUAGAAACACAAUUAGCUCAAUUAGCAGCAGCUGUCCCAUCCUUCGAGCAAGGUAAGAUCCCAGGGAAACCUGAGGACCCAAUUGAAGGAGUUAAACUAGUUACUACGAGGUUCGGUAAGCCUCCGGUACAAUCCAACUGGAGCUAUCUUCUGGAUUCGCCCUUCAUCACCAAGAAGGACGACCCAGGCCUGCCGACCAUCACCUGUGAGAUCGGACCGCAAAUCUUCCACAACGCCUUCUGCGACCUUGGAUCGGGUGUCAACAUCAUGGCCAAGGUAACUUAUGAUAAUUUGCUAGGGGGGCCUUUGCACCCCACAUUUGUUCGUUUGCAGAUGGCAGAUCAGACGAUCAGGUUCCCUGAGGGGUUGGCAAGGGACAUACUGGUAAAGGUCCAAGACGACUACGUCCCUGCCGACUUCAUCAUUUUGGAUAUGGGAUCCAAUAAUGAUGUCUCGAUCAUCUUGGGAAGGCCAUUCCUCAACACGGUCAAUGCAGUCAUCUAUGUGGGGUCCGGCCAGAUUCACCUCCAAUUCCCAGGAUGGAAGGUAAAAUGUCCAUUCAAUGGUUAUAAAGCUAACAUGCAGGUGAAGGACAAAGAACCUCCGACUAAGCCUCGCCACAUCCGACGCCGAAGGGACAAGAGAGGUAAGUCGGCCAAAAGGGCCGAAAAGAAAGAAGAGGAACCCGCUGAACCAAAAAUCAAUACCAAGCAAGUAUGGCGGGAGAAAGAGGUGCAAUCAAGGUCCACGUCUCCGGGACCAUCUGAUGCACCCGAAGGAUGAACAAGACGGAGAGGUCCUGCUCUACGGACCUAAAACAUGGAGACCUUGCUGAUAAGGUAAAUCAGUAGUUAUUCCAUAUUUAUUUUCUGCAUUUCAAUUUCUACUAUUCACUUUUCAAUUGCAUUCUUACUUUGAAUUUUGCAUAUCUUAUUUCGACAAAAUGUUUAGCCAUAAUAAAUAAAAUCUUGAGAAUAACUUGUCAUAAAAAUUUGAGCUGCUGGAGCUCCCAAAGGGGGGUCGCCCGACCCCACCUUGGGGCCCACUUCACCACAUUUCAACCUUGCUAGUCAUAGAGGUUCCAACCCAGCACUUGGAUGCUCUGGGAGCUCCAAUGUGGGGGUCGGCCGACCCCCAUAUUGGCCUCACUUGCCUCCUGCUGGCCACCAUUUGAAUCACAAUGGAGUCCUAUGCUUGUAACACUAGCUAAAGUUUGAAAAAGAGUGGUCUCUUGAUCCUUUACUUUAGUCAUAAGAUGCUCCUUUCAUCUUUGAUUCAUUUGGGACCACUCCACUAGCUUAAAUUCUGCAAAGUGGUCACCUAGGCAUGCUUGAGUGCUCCCAUGGUCCAUAGAAAUCACUUUAGACAUGUCUCCACUUUUGCCAUUCAUCUUUUACCUUUCACAAAGCACUAAAACAGGGAAUCUCAGAAACAAUUUGAAAACUUUUGGUCCACACCUAGCCUUUACUUUUCCGGACAAUCAAUGACACAAUGUUUAAAGUGGAGGAGGGGCUAGGAUGGGGGUCGGCCGACCCCCAUUUUGGACCAUCUCUGCAAAAUCUUGAAAGCAUGCAGAAUGGUUCCCUGUAUAAAGCUAAACUCAAAUUCAAAGUGCUUCUAGGGGGGGUCGGCCGACCCCUAUAUUGUGGGUCCACUACUUGCCCUUCUCCCCCUAUAAAUACCACAGCAUUGUGAGCUCAACUCCACACCUAAAACCACCAGAACCAUUUCGAGCUCACAAUCCUUUCUCUUCUCUCUUUGUUACAAGCCAUUUCUCAAGUUUAGUUUAGAAAUAGUCAUCAAAACAAAAACCCAAAAAGAUUCCCCUUGCAUAGUAGUAGUAGUAGGAGCUUGGUUUGCCUCACUUGUGUAGGAGGAUGAAGAAGCAUAUCUUCGGCAAGUUCAAGAAAGCAAAGGGUGAGAGCUCUUCUCAAGGCUCUCACCAUGCUCAUGGAAGGGAGGAAGAAGAAGGUUACCAUGGGAUGGUACCCUACGAGCCUCCAUCAAGGAUGAGAGAGCCCGAGAGCGGCCUCAUGUUAAGCCAAGAAGAGUUGCAAAGGUACUACAUCAUCCGAGAGGGUCUCUUCCUACACACUAGCAUCAUCGAUCCGGACCUUUUGGCCCGCACAGGUAUGGAUGUUGAAUUCGAUAAGGUGUUUAGAGCAAUUGGUUGGAGUAGUUUUUGGCAAGUGCCUGAAUUUGGAAAAGAAUUGCUUGCUAAGGAAUUUCUAUGCACCCUAAAACUCACAAAUAAUGGAAUAUCUUUUCGCAUGUGUGAGCAAGAACAUCAAUUAAAUUGGAGUUUGCUAAACACUGCUUUAGGGUGUGAACAUGAAUGUGAACUUGAUCUAGAUCAUGCCACUAGAAUGUUCGAUAAAAUUAGAUUCUGGAAAGCAAUUUCUGGCUCUAAUGAUUGUUCAAAUCCUACUCCCAUUGAAAUCCAUAAUCCAACCUUGCGCUUUCUUCACUUCUGGAUCAUGUGCACUCUAUAUCCUGGCAUGGGAACUGAUACUUUAAUUGAUGAUGAACUUAAAAUUCUCUAUGCCAUGGUUAGUAAAAUCAAGGUCUCCCCUGUGAAACUGCUAGUGAACUAUUGGCUUAACUCUAUUGAGUAUGGGAAGCCCAUCUAUUUCACAUCCUUUAUUACUCGAAUAGCCGAUACUUUUGGAUUACUUGAAUCACAUUAUUUUGAAGACAUUGGCUAUGUUAGAGGAGUGGUAGAUGAGAACUUCUUUAUCAAUGCUAACAUGCUCAUAAGAGAUCCAAAUGGUGAACUUAAAAUGAUUUAUCCGGGCUAUACAACCGAAAUUCCUCUCCCAUGUGCGAGGCGCCGGUUGUAUGGGGUCCGCACACUUACCAUUAGACUAGCCCGAGUGGCAAAUCCAGAUGUUGCAGGGACACGCAGGGUGACAAGAAGGAUGAUGCAAGCCGCCUAGAUGGAGCAAGGAGGAUCCUCGCACCAUGACGUUGAAGAGGGCGAUGAAGCGAUGUCAGUGGAUGCUUCAGACUCCAUGGGUCUACCUCCACAACGCACUCCACGCCCAAGGGACAGGGCUAGGCGUCACCAGCCCACAGGUAUGGACAGUCUCAUUAAUGACAUGGGCGAAUUGCAGAUUGGGCAAGAAGCAACAUUGCAACUGGCGUUACAAAACGGCCAACAUAUCCGACGUGUGCGAGAGGAAGACGCACAACGCUGGGCCGGAUGGUACCAGAAUUUCCCGCCACCACAGUGAGCGAAGAUCUAGCUUGGGGGAGAUCCUCUCCCCCACUAAGGUAAGUAUUCUAUCCUAUUUAUUUUCAUGCAUUUUAUCAUUCUUACUUAAAAAAAAAUAAAAAUAAAUAAAUAUUUAUUAGCAUUUCCCUUUAGCAUAUAUGCUUCAUGUAUGUUUAUAUCCCUCAUGGAAAUUAUGACUAGUUGCUUGUUAAUGUUUCUCUAGUGCCUAGUAUACAACUUAGUAUUUCUCUAAGUAUGGAUCACUUAGCUCACUUAAACUGCCAUGAACCUAAAAACUUUGUGGGUUGCAAGUGCUAGAACUAAGUCUAAGUUGUUGUGGGACAUGAGAUAGUAAGACAAGAGCUACUAUAAUAUUUUUCUAAGCAUGCAUGAUUAUCAGAGAUUUAUUCUUAAAAUGAUCAAAACCUUAAUUGUUCCUCAAUGGUGAUGAAUUCCUACCACAGCCAUAUCUACUUUACAUAAUUGCAACCUUUCCACAUAAGCUAUUUGCUUUGUGUUGAGUGUCGUCAAGUCUUGUUGACCCUUGUUAAGAGACUUUUCAUGCUCCUAAGAUCAAGAUCACGUACACACCACAUAUAUAUAUGCUGCUUCUACACUGGAAGUACGCAACCACAUGUAUUUCGCAUCCACUAAAUAGGUUGCUCCAUACUCUAAAUGUUAGAACAUCUCUCUAAGCAUUAUUUGGUAAAUGAGACAUCAAAAGGGCUAGGCAAAAUGAAAUAAAAAGAUGGACAUGUGCAAGUCCACAGAAAAAGAAAAUUGAGCACAUGAAAGCUCAUAUAUAUAAAAAAAAAGAAGAAAAAAAUGCUAGCCAUGUCUCAAUACAUAGAGAGUCUAUCAAAUAAAGGAGCAACCUAGUCCACCAUAUAUCACACUUGCACAUCUUGAUCUGGGAGUAUGACACUUCUCUUCAAGGAUCCGAGCUUUGACUUCGCAAUACAUGCAAAGUAAGUAUGCUAUCUCCUUUCAUCCCUACCUUGAACUCCACAUAAGCCUUUUAGAAAUAGGAUGAAAUAGAGAAGGCAACUCCUACCAUAUGCCUUGGUGAGGAAUCAUACACCAUUUGAGUGAUAUGAGAGAACCAUAAGAGGAACAUUUAAGCUUUCUUUUGAAAAUAUCACAAAACCUCUGAUAUGAAACUUGCUAAGAAUGAGAAAGUUAGUGCUCAAGUCAAACUGUUCUGUCUCUCAACCACCUAAGACAAAGGAAAAGCCAUAAGCCCCAUAAGGGACUAAGGUAAUAGGGGUAAGUUUACAUAGCUAAAUUUUUCAUGCAAAGAGAAGAACUUUGUUGUACACAUGGUACUCUUGAAAUGUGAACAUAGUAACAAUACCUGAUCCACCGAGGCUAAGUUUGAUUGUUUGCUCGGGACGAGCAAAGGUUAAGCUUGGGGGAUCUUGUUGACGGUGCAUAUACCAUAGAAAUCCACAUACAAAACACCGUCAACAUGCCUCGGUUGCAAGAGGAAACGACAUGACAUGAACAUAUUUUAUCCUUAACUAGUUCCACUUGUACUCUUAGCUUGUUUAUGCAGGAACAACAAAUUCAAGACAUUAUUUGACAAAGCCAACAUCAGAAUCAUCAAGAGGAGAUCGAGGGGACAACAGGUGACACCCUGGGCCCACAGGGAGGGGGUCGCCCGACCCCUCUUUGGUGGGACCCAGGUGUGCCACCUAGUCCACCGACAUAAGGGACCCCUGUGGACACUGCUGGUGGGCCCAGAGGCCCAGAAGUGGGGUCGCCCGACCCCACAUCAAAGGCGGUUCCAGGGUCGGUGGCCUCCCACCGACCUUCCCCACAUGUCCCACAUGUUGAUUUGCCCCUGCCGUUGAUCAAAUGGCGGUUGUGAGGUCGGUUUGAUCCAAGGGUGGAGAGAAGAUGUCACGCGGAUCGAUGACGUGGCGAUGGAGUAACCCCUACUCCAUCUCCCUCUAUAAAAGGCAGCCUCCAUCCUUCAUUUCAAGUGGGCAAUUCCAAGGCCAAGUGCAUUACAAGUUCCAAGCAUACAAGUAGAGUAGUAGUUAGUCUAGAGUGGGAGUUAGAGUCGAGUCGAGCGAAGCUCGGGGUCUCCGGAGUCGUCUUCUGGAGAGUCUGGUAUAGCUCUUGUACCUUUCUACUUUUGUAAGACUUUCCUUUUAUUAAUAUAUUAUUCUUACUUUACUUUACUGAGUUCUUACUUAGUGCAAGUCUUUUAGUCUUGUUGUGCAUUUACUUUAGUAAUAUAGUUGUCUUAGUGAAGUUAGUGACCUGUAACCACUCCUGUGUGUGCAUCAUCGUCCUAUCUUGUAUAGGAGCUCUAGCUAGCUGCAACUAGUUAGCGUUGUAGGAUUAAGUGUGAGCGUGGUGCUCAUACUUAAGAUUACCUUUGAUUACCGCUGGCUUGAACGGAAAGUAGGAGCGCACUCCCUAGUAGGUGACAGAUCGUGGGCGGCAUUAGGUUCUCCUCACGUACAGGCUAGUUCUUAAAAGGUAAGGCGUCCAUAAGCCCAAUAGUCGCUUUCGGUAAGGGGUUAGGUGAAAAACCUUCUAAGCGUCUUACCAGCUCGGCUAUCCCUCGCACACAGUUAGUAAGGCUCUAGCGUAGUUAAGGCAAUUAUCUAUUAAAGUAAGUCACAGAAGUCAAGUUAGAUACAUAGGAGUCCUUUACUCACUCGUUGUCCUCCCACCUAGCUAACUCUACCAUUUACCUUUAGCAUAGGACCUUGGAUUCACCACUACCCUUCCUAUUCGUUAUUUACCACCCUUAUUCACUAGUUGAUACUAGAUAACUCAAGGAAUCUCAUUCCCCUUUUUGUUAAACACACUUAGCCGCUUUCCCUUGGGAAAAUAUAAAUUACGAUACCUUGGAAUACUCCUUGGUGAAGUGCUACAGCGGUACAUUCUGUGCGCUUGCGGAAUUAUCCAAUAGUAAAUAGAGUUACCCUACCAGGGCACUCCUGGCGCCGUCGCCGAUAUCCGGUGGUUGCGUUAAGAAGUGUCAACACACAAACACACUAGAGAUACUGGACACUCAGGCAAUCACUGCCCUGAGAUGCUUGAGGACGUAACUACUGGAGUAACCCCGUUGUGGAAGUAAUUACUGACCUUCUGCCGGUCAAGAGAGACAAUCGAGGACGCCCCGUCAUCCCGAUCUCCCUCGGCAUGGUGGACUUCCUAGAAGCACUCUAUGACUUUGGCUCCAGCGUCGACAUUAUGCCCAGGCUUGCAGAUCGUACGCUAAGUUUCCCAAAGGGAAUAGUGAAGAACCUCUGCGUUCGAGUUGGUACCUUGUACGCCCUAGCAGACUUCGUGGUGAUAGAAACUGGUACUGCUGAGAGGGCACCCAUCAUCAUAGGGAGGCCAUUUCUGAACACCACAGGAGCUGUCAUCUACGCUAGUGCUGCCAAGAUCAGUUUCUACAUCAAGGGGAGGAAGGAGACGUUUUCCUUCAAGAACAAGAUUACACAAAUCUCAGAGCAAUCAAGACAUGAACCAAGGAAGAGGACCAAUAGGAGGAACAGAAACAAGCAAAUGUGGACUGAGUCAGCUAAGAUGAUCACUGUAGUUCAAGGAGGUCAAGAUCGUUGACUUAAGUCACCGUUUCUGACCAACAAGGACGACCCAGGAAUGCCAAGCAUUCAUUGCUCCAUCAAUGGGUAGAACUUCUACAAGAUGCUUUGCGACACCGGGUCAGGCGUCAGCAUAAUGGCCGCAGUCACCUAUCAGCUCCUGUUUGGAACCAUGCCCCUAAAACCGACAUACAUUCAGCUCCAGAUGGCAGAUCAGACAUUCCGAAAGGUUGAAGGUUAUUGACAUGGGAGAAGACGAAUUCGAUCCACCCGUCAUCCUUGGAAGACCGUUCUUUGGCACCGUUAAAGCAAUCAUAUACAUUGGAACCAGAGAAGUCCACAUGCAUUUCCCCUCUGAGAAGGUACGCCACUAUUUUACUGACCCUAACUAUAUAGUUGAAGACUCUAAGCAGGUCAGGACAAGAAGAAGACAACGCAACCGCAACCAGAGGAGGCAAAUUAUCAAGGACAGAUGGGCAGACUACGAAGGAGAAGUAGUAAGGUCUGAAGACAUACAACUUGAACAGAACUGUCCUGAGGAGACCGUAGCACCAAGUCAGGUGUGGAGAGAGAAGAUAGGUAUACACGAAGAGGAGGCGUUGCCGGAACCACCGACUACGCCAUCCAGCGAUUCCCAGGACGACUAAGGAAACGGAGAGUCCCGUUCGGAGGACUUAAAAACACCGAACGCCUUGCCAAGAGGUAAACUUGGUAGCUAUCUUUUCCCUUUCAAUUAUUUAAAAUAGUUUGCUUAGUUAAUCAGGUUCAUGCUAUCUUAAAAAGAAAAUAAAAAUGUUAAAAAUAGUAAGCCCCAUGUGAGUAUGCUCAUGGCAUAAAACCCAUAAGUACAUUCACUGUGGUGGCGUAAAAAUGAAAUAAAUAUAUUCCUGUCCUAUAAAAAUAAAAUUAUAAAAAUAAAUGAUCCUACUAAAAGAGUAACAUUUAUUGAGGAGGCUCAACAUGAUAAAGGCUAGAUACUUAUGCUAACACUUAACCAGUUCCACAAAGCUUUGUUGUCUAUUUGAGCUCCAUAGAAUUCAAGGAUCAAAGAAGACUAGCAGACGGAGGACAUCCUAAUCGCUGUCAGAGUGCUGCCGACAUUCAAAUACACCUCCGCCACCUGCUAGCUACAUCAGAAGAAAUUACGUCAAAAUCCAGCUUGGGGGAGAGCACCCCCAUUUAUCCAGCUAAGUGUUCUACUCACGUUUAUAUUUUACUUAAAUAAUAAAAAGAUGCAUAAUCAUAAAAACCCAAAUAAAGAUUUUGUACUUAUAUAUAUCUUUGCUUAGUUUGCUAAAUAAAUGAAUAAAUAAAGUUUGCUAUGAACCCUCAUGAUAAGCUCUCAUAUGGAAAUGAUGAAUAGUUGCUCUGCCAUGACUAGUUCUCAAAAUUGAAAUCUCUCUCAAGUUUAGGCAUGACUGUUAUGAAUUAAGAUUUGCUCUAAACCUGAACUUGUGGGAAGAGUACUUGAUCUAAAGUCUAAGUUGUUAACGGAUAUGAUAUGGAAAGGUUGAGCUACUGUUUAUCUGUUCCUAGAGAUGCUAGAAUUCUGGAGAAUUUUAUCUUUGAAAAUCUUUAAAAUAUCACAUGAUGAGUUCCUGUAUGAUGAGAGUUUAAAAUCCUACCAUAGCCAUAUAUACAUGCUUAUUAGACUAUGAACCAUACAAUUACUUUUUACUGCUUAUGAGCAUUGAGUGUGGUCAAGCUGUGUAGACCCUUAGGAGCUUGUCAUGUGGUUAAAAUCAAGAGUCACUUGCACGUUCACUCAUUCAUGCUACUUCUACUCUGGAAGCACACAUCCACAUAUAUCCACUCAUUUCCAUCUCCAGAAUCACCUAAAAAUAUUCUACACCUAAUCUAGGAGAGAAUAGCCAAAAACAUUUCUGUUUUUCCCUGUGAAAUAAAUGCUCAAGUUAUCUUGGUUACUACCACUUGCUAUAUUAUUUCAGGAGAUGAGUGCUCUAAAAAAAGAAAAAACAAGAAAGAAUAUGAGGAAAUAAAAAGGGGCAAGUGCCCGGAACCUCGAAAGAAAAGAAAAAGUGAGAAGAGAGGUAAAAAUGGACAAGUGUCUGACAGUAGAAUUAGGGGUACAAGAUACCCACCUGAGAGAAAAAAAAGGAAAAUAUAGAGCAUCUCAUUCUCCUCAAAAAGUUCCAAAAGAGCAAGAAAGUUAUGUAUCCCCUCAAAAGAGCACAAGUAGAAUUAGACUUUCACCAUUGUUAUCACCAUCAUUACCAUGCACCAUUCAUUCGCCACACAUGCACAUCUUGAUUUGACUUAUUGACUUGGUCUUCUGGAUCCAUGGUUUGACUAUGCAAUAAAUGUCUUGUAAGUAUGUAUUAGCUGUCUCCCACCUAUGAGCUCCAGAUAUCAAAAACCUUAUUAGAGUAGGGUGAGAGAGAAGGCAAUGUCACUAUGCCUCAUACCAAAAAUACCACAUACUUUGAGAGAAGGCAUACACCAUUAUUGCCUUGGUAAGGAUCCAGAAAUACCACAAAAGAGAGACUAGAGAGACUCAUACAAGGAAUCUCUGAGUUUUAUUUGAAAAUCUGCAGAAAUUCCAGAGCUAUAGUUAAUCGAAGAACAAGAGACAUGGCGCUUGACUAGACCGUUCUAUCUUUUAACUGCUCAAGACACAAGUGACGGUUGCAAGCCCCAUGGCGGAAGGUACAAUGGGUAAGUUUAAAUCUUAACAGUUUACCCUAACCCAGAGAUGAGAUCUUGUUUGAACGCAUGUAUAUCUUUAAGGCAUGAAACCACUGUAGAAACUCUUGAGUCCAUCUUUGCUCAGGGACGAGCAAAGGAUAAGCUUGGCAGAGCUUGUUGACGGUCCUUAAUGCUCACAUUUAACCAUCAACUAAUCAUAGAAAAUGACUUAUAUGCAACCAACACCUAGACUUAGGGUUUUAUCUGACAGAAUUCCACGAGUUUUGGUGUUUGUCUAUUUCUGCAGGGGGUUAUCAGGAAAUACGGAGGAAAGGCCCACACGUCGGGUUUACAUAGAGAUAUUAACGUGCCGCACAAUUUUCUAUCAUCUAGAAGACUCCAGAAGCCACGGGACCAAAGCGGAGGCCAAGAGGACUCAGGGACAGGGCGCCCGCCCUACUCUCCUGGGCGCCCGCCCUCAUAUAGAGUCCAAUCAGGACUCUCUUUUGGGAUAUUGCUCCACCGACCUAAAGGAUCAAGGAUAACCGUUCAAUUAAUGUCGGUUUGAUCCAACGACCCAGAUUCACUUGAAGGGACUACAAAACCAGACCCCCUGGCCCCUAGAGAUCAUACCUCUUCUACAGAAUCAAAGUUAGGGUUUCAAUUCUUCAUCCAAGUAGAGAGGAUCCCUCUAGUUCUUCUAGUUCUACCUCUAGUUCAUCUAGAUCUAGUUCUAGUUCCUCUAGUUCUAGUUCUAGUUAGUUCUAGUUGUAAUCUAGAAAAUAGGGAGAGAGAAGAGGAGAGCGGAGGAGGAGCCGGAUCUGUC